AACACUUGAUCUGCACGUCUGAGGAAGUCUGGAAACAGCCAAAGCUUCUGAUGGCCACAUUUAGGAAGACAGAUUUGCAAGGACAGAACUGCUUUAACUAGAAACAUUUAUCAUCCCUGUCCAUAUCUACAGGGCCCACAAAAAUAAGCAUGUCUGGUGACAAAAGAAAAAGGGCCAGCUGGAACAAGUAAAAGAAUGCACUGCCAAAGAAUCAUAAAGGUGCACCUUAAAAGAAAGAACAAAAACCAAAAAAACCCAACAGCCAAGAACAUUAGAAGCUGCAAGAUUUUGAAAUCUGUAUCAAGUCUUGCUCAAGGAUUCAGUACAGUCAGUCAAACAGUGUUUAAUCUAAAGUGUGUUUUAAUACAGCAUCCAUUGAGUAUCCAAAUCCAAGUUUACUAAACAAAAUCUUAAAACUGAACGUUGCUGCUUGCUGGACAAGUCUGUCAAAUAAAAAGUUUAUCUCUAUGCAGAAAUAAUUCUUCCCCAACCCUUCCAAGACUGCAGCUCAGUAAUGUGCUGUAUCUAUGUAUAUUCUCCUCAGUCAGCAAAUGCAAUUUUAUUGUUACCUCUGUAAGAACUGUGGUGUCAUAUGAAGGCUGAUACUUCUCUUUUUCAUGUGCAGUUCGCUUUUCCAUCUUUUCUCUGUCUGUUUUCUGCUUUCUGUCUGCUCC
Long non-coding RNA from Passer domesticus (house sparrow), 674 nucleotides. RefSeq lists it as uncharacterized. The record is from RefSeq and is a predicted model, not a curated record. The transcript is spliced from 3 exons. Lineage: Eukaryota; Metazoa; Chordata; Aves; Passeriformes; Passeridae.